AACUUUCAACAAUGGAUCACUUGGCUCUCGCAUCGAUGAAGAACGCAGCGAAACGCGAAAUGUAAUGUGAAUUGCAGAACUCCAUGUGAAUCAUCGAAUCUUUGAACGCAUCUUGCGCCCCGUGGCAUUCCGCGGGGCAUGUCUGUUUGAGUGUCGUUUUACCUCUCAAUCGCGCACCGUAGUGCGCGACUUGGAGCUUGGGUGCCUGUAGCGUGUGCUACCCACCCGGAAGUCAGUAAGCUAAGCGUGAAUCUAUGCGGCUAGACCGAACGUUGUAAGGUUCGCCUCGUUCGGGACGCGGGAUUACCAUUUGUGCUAGAAUGAUAUUGAAAUCGACUUUUUGACCUCAAAUCAGGCAGGACUACCCGCUGAAUUUAAGCAUAUCAAUAAGCGGAGGCU
This 399-nucleotide unclassified non-coding RNA is filed under the name uncultured Basidiomycota. RNAcentral describes it as "sequence contains ITS2". The stretch from base 1 to 156 matches the Rfam family "5.8S ribosomal RNA". Lineage: Eukaryota; Fungi; Basidiomycota. The record is from RNAcentral.